Molecule: ribosomal RNA, 498 nt
Filed under: uncultured bacterium
Lineage: Bacteria
Description: bacterial SSU rRNA
Rfam family: Bacterial small subunit ribosomal RNA
Source: RNAcentral
AUUGAACGCUGGCGGCAUGCCUUACACAUGCAAGUCGAACGGUAACAGCACUUCGGUGGCUGACGAGUGGCGGACGGGUGAGUAAUACAUCGGAACGUGCCCGAUCGUGGGGGAUAACUACUCGAAAGAGUGGCUAAUACCGCAUACGAUCUACGGAUGAAAGCGGGGGAUCGCAAGACCUCGCGCGGACGGAGCGGCCGAUGGCAGAUUAGGUAGUUGGUGGGAUAAAAGCUUACCAAGCCGACGAUCUGUAGCUGGUCUGAGAGGACGACCAGCCACACUGGGACUGAGACACGGCCCAGACUCCUACGGGAGGCAGCAGUGGGGAAUUUUGGACAAUGGGGGAAACCCUGAUCCAGCCAUGCCGCGUGCAGGAUGAAGGCCUUCGGUUGUAAACUGCUUUGUUACGGACGAAAGACUCUUUCUAAUACAGAGGUCCAUGACGGUACCGUAAGAAUAAGCACCGGCUAACUACGUGCCAGCAGCCGCGGUAAACGU